Molecule: ribosomal RNA, 898 nt
Filed under: uncultured archaeon
Lineage: Archaea
Description: bacterial SSU rRNA
Rfam family: Archaeal small subunit ribosomal RNA
Source: RNAcentral
CCCCACUGCUAUCGAGGUGAGACUAAGCCAUGCCAGUUGAACGCCUUUGGACUAUGGCAAAGGAGUAGCACACUGCUCAGUAACACGUAGCUAACCUACCCUUGGGAUGGUGAUAACCCCGGGAAACUGGGGUCAAUAACCAAUAGAUAUGGAUGCCUGGAAUGGUUCCAUAUUGAAAUGUUUGUACACCCAUGUCGUGUACAUACACCCGAGGAUGGGGCUGCGGCCGAUCAGGCUGUUGGUGAGGUAACGGCUCACCAAACCUUUGACCGGUACGGGCCAUGAGAGUGGUAGCCCGGAGAUGGGCACUGAGACAAGGGCCCAGGCCCUACGGGGCGCAGCAGGUACGAAACCUCCACAAUUCACGCAAGUGAGAUGGGGUUACCUCGAGUGCUGCCUGAAUAAGGUGGCUUUUCCGUUGUGUAACAAGCUGUGGGAAUAAGGGGGGGGCAAGACUGGUGUCAGCCGCCGCGGUAACACCAGCCCCCCGAGUGGUGGGGAUGUUUAUUUGGCCUAAAGCGUCCGUAGCCGGCUCUGUAAAUCUCUCGUUAAAUCCAGCGUCCUAAGCGUUGGGCUGCGAGAGAGACUGCAGAGCUAGAGGGUGGGAGAGGUCAGCGGUAUUUCUGGGGUAGGGGCGAAAUCCAUUGAUCCCAGGAGGACCACCAGUGGCGAAGGCUGCUGACUUGAACACGCCUGACGGUGAGGGACGAAAGCUGGGGUAGCGAAUCGGAUUAGAUACCCGAGUAGUCCCAGCCGUAAACGAUGCAGGCUAGGUGUUGGGUUGGCCAUGUGCCGACUCAGUGCCACAGGGAAGCCAUUAAGCCUGCGCCUGGGAGUACGGUCGCAUGCUGAAACUUAAAGGAUUGGCGGGAGAGCACACAGGCGUGAGCUGCGGUAA